This 301-nucleotide ribosomal RNA is filed under the name uncultured bacterium. Its description in RNAcentral is "partial 16S ribosomal RNA". It matches the Rfam family "Bacterial small subunit ribosomal RNA", at positions 509 to 807 of the family's 1533-position model. The record is from RNAcentral.
CAGUCGCCACGGUAAUACGGAGGGAGCUAGCGUUGUUCGGAAUCACUGGGCGUAAAGCGCACGUAGGCGGCUAUUCAAGUCAGGGGUGAAAUCCCAAGGCUCAACCUUGGAACUGCCUUUGAUACUGUUUGUCUUGAGUCCGGGAGAGGUGAGUGGAACUGCGAGUGUAGAGGUGAAAUUCGUAGAUAUUCGCAAGAACACCAGUGGCGAAGGCGGCUUACUGGCCCGGAACUGACGCUGAGGCGCGAAAGCGUGGGGAGCAAACAGGAUUAGAUACCCGUGUAGUCCCUGUCUCUUAUAC